GAUGAACGCUGGCGGCGUGCUUAACACAUGCAAGUCGAGCGAUGAAGUUUCCUUCGGGAAACGGAUUAGCGGCGGACGGGUGAGUAACACGUGGGUAACCUGCCUCAUAGAGUGGAAUAGCCUUCCGAAAGGAAGAUUAAUACCGCAUAAUGUUGAAAGAUGGCAUCAUCAUUUAACCAAAGGAGCAAUCUGCUAUGAGAUGGACCCGCGGCGCAUUAGCUAGUUGGUGGGGUAACGGCCUACCAAGGCGACGAUGCGUAGCCGACCUGAGAGGGUGAUCGGCCACAUUGGGACUGAGACACGGCCCAGACUCCUACGGGAGGCAGCAGUGGGGAAUAUUGCACAAUGGGGGAAACCCUGAUGCAGCAACGCCGCGUGAGUGAUGAAGGUUUUCGGAUCGUAAAGCUCUGUCUUUGGGGAAGAUAAUGACGGUACCCAAGGAGGAAGCCACGGCUAACUACGUGCCAGCAGCCGCCGCCG
This 480-nucleotide ribosomal RNA is filed under the name uncultured bacterium. RNAcentral describes it as "partial 16S ribosomal RNA". It matches the Rfam family "Bacterial small subunit ribosomal RNA", at positions 28 to 523 of the family's 1533-position model. The record is from RNAcentral.